UUUGUUCACAGAGGAGACUGGACAA
RNAcentral lists this non-coding RNA (25 nucleotides) under Mus musculus (house mouse). Lineage: Eukaryota; Metazoa; Chordata; Mammalia; Rodentia; Muridae. The record is from RNAcentral.